RNAcentral lists this ribosomal RNA (301 nucleotides) under uncultured bacterium. Its description in RNAcentral is "partial 16S ribosomal RNA". It matches the Rfam family "Bacterial small subunit ribosomal RNA", at positions 509 to 807 of the family's 1533-position model. The record is from RNAcentral.
CAGUCGCCGCGGUAAUACGGAGGGUGCGAGCGUUAAUCGGAAUAACUGGGCGUAAAGGGCACGCAGGCGGUGACUUAGGUGAGGUGUGAAAUCCCCGGGCUCAACCUGGGAAUUGCGUUCUGAACUGGGUGGCUAGAGUGUGUCAGAGGGGGGUAGAAUUCCACGUGUAGCAGUGAAAUGCGUAGGGAUGUGGAGGAAUACCGAUGGCGAAGGCAGCCCCCUGGGAUAGCACUGACGUUCAUGCCCGAAAGCGUGGGUAGCAAACAGGAUUAGAUACCCGUGUAGUCCCUGUCUCUUAUAC